CCUACGGGAGGCAGCAGUAAGGAAUAUUGGUCAAUGGGCGGAAGCCUGAACCAGCCAUGCCGCGUGCAGGAAGACGGCCCUACGGGUUGUAAACUGCUUUUGCAGGGGAAUAAACCCCGAUAUGUAUAUCGGGCUGAAUGUACCUUGAGAAUAAGGAUCGGCUAACUCCGUGCCAGCAGCCGCGGUAAUACGGAGGAUCCAAGCGUUAUCCGGAUUUAUUGGGUUUAAAGGGUGCGUAGGUGGCUUAUUAAGUCAGGGGUGAAAGACGGUAGCUUAACUAUCGCAGUGCCUUUGAUACUGAUGAGCUUGAAUCCACUAGAGGUAGGCGGAAUGUGACAAGUAGCGGUGAAAUGCAUAGAUAUGUCACAGAACACCAAUUGCGAAGGCAGCUUACUAUGGUGGUAUUGACACUGAGGCACGAAAGCGUGGGGAUCAAACAGGAUUAGAUACCCUGGUAGUCCACGCCCUAAACGAUGAAUACUCGAUGUUGGCGAUAUACCGGUNAGCGUCUAAGCGAAAGCGUUUAAGUAUUCCUACCGUACGGGAGGUACGACCCGCCGAACGGGUAGGUAAACGUACGAAAGUAAGUAAGUACGACGCGAGAGAGACGACGACGACGACGACGGAGGGAGGAGG
Molecule: ribosomal RNA, 636 nt
Filed under: uncultured bacterium
Lineage: Bacteria
Description: bacterial SSU rRNA
Rfam family: Bacterial small subunit ribosomal RNA (bases 1-538)
Source: RNAcentral